Molecule: ribosomal RNA, 541 nt
Filed under: Desulfobulbaceae bacterium enrichment culture 13Fcon09
Lineage: Bacteria; Pseudomonadati; Thermodesulfobacteriota; Desulfobulbia; Desulfobulbales; Desulfobulbaceae
Description: SSU rRNA
Rfam family: Bacterial small subunit ribosomal RNA
Source: RNAcentral
AGAGUUUGAUCAUGGCUCAGAACGAACGCUGGCGGCGUGCUUAACACAUGCAAGUCGAACGCGAAAGGGACUUCGGUCCCGAGUAGAGUGGCGCACGGGUGAGUAACGCGUAAGUAAUCUACCCCUGUAUCUGGAAUAACCCACCGAAAGGUGAGCUAAUACCGGAUACGUUUAUCUUGAUGCGAAUGAUGAUAAAGAAAGGUGGCCUCUUCAUGAAAGCUACCGUACAGGGACGAGCUUGCGUACCAUUAGCUGGUUGGUAGGGUAAUGGCCUACCAAGGCGACGAUGGUUAGCGGGUCUGAGAGGAUGAUCCGCCACACUGGAACUGAAACACGGACCAGACUCCUACGGGAGGCAGCAGUGAGGAAUAUUGCGCAAUGGGGGCAACCCUGACGCAGCGACGCCGCGUGGACGAUGAAGGCCCUUGGGUCGUAAAAUCCUGUCAGAUGGAAAGAAAUGUACAGGUGUUAAUAUCGCCUGUAUUUGACGGUACCAUCAAAGGAAGCACCGGCUAACUCCGUGCCAGCAGCCGCGGUAAUA